CAUCCUAAGUGCAGGACUUUGCACUUGUCCUUAUUGAACCUCAUGAAAUUUCUUUUGGUCCAAUCUUUCAAUUUGUCUAGGUCACUGAAUCCAAGCCCUGCCCUCCAGUGUAUUUACUACUCCCCCAGCUUGGUGUCAACUGCAAACUUGCUGAGGGUGCACUCUAUCCUAUCCUUCAGGUCACUGAUGAAGAUAUGGAACAAAGAGGCACUUCUAGAAGGCUUCUUUUGGAACACUAAAGAAGAAGAGCAAUUACUCGAGUUAUCCUGUGAUGGGGAACUGAAACUUGAAUUCAAGCAGGAAUGCCUUGCCUGAUUCUGGUUGAAAAUAAAAAAGGAGUAACCUGAUCUGACAGAUAAAGCCAUUAAAGUCUUGAUGCCAUUCACCACCACAUACUUUCGUAUCAAUAAAAACGAAAUACCGAAACAAACUGGAUGUUGAAGGAGAUCUGAUUGAAACUGUGACUUAUGCUACCAAACUUUCAUGUGCUUUCUGUCCGGAAGCAAGCUCAACCAUCUCAUCAGAACUGGCUACAGAAUGGAGUCUCCAGUCAUCUCAGUAUCCAAGUGAGAGGAGCCUACAUCCACCUCCCCAAGAACCUGUUCUACAGGAAACCUGGCUCCAAGGUCACCUGGGACCCUUAAUACAUGCCUAUGCCUACUUUAUUGCCAGCACCCAAAAUGGAGGCAGCAGUAGCAGAGGAAUUACCCUUACCGUAUUACAGUUUUGUGGUACAUCUGUUGUUAGAGCUGCCUUCUUCCAUGCUGCAUUGGAGGGUAGAUGUUUGUAAUGGGUUGGGUGAGUCCGCCCAAGCCUUUCCCUGCCUCUCAACCACUGGAUGCUGCUUUACUGCUGCUACUUGCCACCACCAAGGGGUACUGCUCCACUGUCCACUAGGCCUGUGCGAAGCAACUAGUAUUCACUUCAGAUUCAGAUUCGGCCUAUUUGGGGGACAGUAAUUCAAUUCAGUGAUUUGAAUCACUGUCCCGAUUUGAUUCAGCUGAAUCUGAUUCAGAGAUUUGGCUGCUGCCAAAUCUGUGAAUCAGCCAGGCCAGGCCCAUCCCCUGCCCCUCUCCCAGCUCAGCAAUGAUCCCCACUGCCCCUCACUGCCCCAUGCUGCAUGGGGGGCUUUGCACGAGCCUCCCCUUGCUCCCCCUGCCCAACCAUGGGUGCCCUGCAUGGGCCACUUCUGGCCCUUUAAGGAAAAAAAAAAUGACCCCCCCCUUCACUGCUCCUCCCAGUGGGAGCAAUCCCCACUGCCCCAUGCCAUGUGACGGGCCCUGUAUGAGCCCCUGAAACCCCGAGGCGGCUGCAGGAGCUGGAGUCCCAGGGCUUUUCUCAGCUUUUUUUUUUCCUUAAAGGGCCAGAGCUCACCUGGGUGGGGCACCCAUGGAGAGGCUGGGGAAGUGGGAGGGGAGGGGACUAGUGCAGAGCCCCCCAUGCAGUGUGGGGCAGUGUGGGGGCAGCAGGGAUUGCCCUCCCCACCCAGCAGCACCCGGUGAGCACUGGGUCUUUUUUUUAAAGUACUGGGAGCUGGGGUGGGUGAAGGUAGCCUUGGGGGGCCUGGGGGAGUGGGCAGUGGGGCAGGAGGGCUGGCAAGGGUCCCCCCAUGGUCCUCUCCCCCCUGCCCCAGCCCCCCUCCCCUGCCUCUAGUACUUACGAGGUCGGAGUUGGCUGCAGCCACUGGGGACUGCCUGAAUAAUCAAAGUCGUCCAAAUCUUUUCUGAUGUUUCGGAGAGCUUUGAAUCGAUUCAGACCUUUAGAUUGGUCCCCUGAUUCAAUUCAGAUUCAGAGAUUCAGCCACCAAAUCAGGCUGAAUCUCCUCUGAAUCGAAUCGCCAUCCAAAGUUUCGCACAACCCUACUGUCCACUUCUGGAUGCAGAAACAAGCCAGAACUUGUAAACCUUGAGCAAACUGAAGGAUUUCAGCUCUUCAGACUCUAGCAGGCAAAACAUUCAACCUGAUCUGGUCUUUUUUAUUUUUACUAAAAAAAAAAAUUCAAAUCACAUACUUAUAAGAAUGACAAGGUAAAACCACAAAAACCUUAUACACAACAACCGAACACUAAGAACAGACAAGUACAAGUCUACCCUGCCUUCUAUAUGAUCUAUUGCCACUGGUUUUUUGUGGAUAUUCAUCCAAACUUGCUUUGAUAAUUCAACAGACUCGUCAUGUUCCAGUGUCAUUAGUUCCCCUGCCCUCACCACCCCAUCCCUGGUGCUAGGCUAGCUGGGCUGCGUCUCCACCCCUGGAGCUAGAUAGUAGGGGAUGGGAAAGCAGCCCAGCUGGGCUGCCUUCCCACCCCAUGCCAGAUCUUGUGCCAGUAAUGGGAAGUCAGCCAAGCUGGACUGACUUCCCAUCCCCAGCACUAUGGUCAAAAUGUUUCGACUCUUGAAAUGUUUCGACUAGCCUCAUUUUGUUUUGAGGCUAUUUCGAUGGCCUUUGUUUCGUUUUGAUUUUGCUGUUUUGACCUCGAAAUGAGUCAAAACAGUGUCUAAAUGAAACAGCCGUUGAAAUUUCGCACAGCCCUACUGCCCAAUACUGUCACCCCCAUUCCUUCUAUCUCUCCUAUGUGUCCCACCAACAGGCACACACUUUAAAUAAGCACCUGCUGCCUCCUCAUAUUACUCCACGUUCUUCAAUAACCACUGUAGUGAUACCUUACUCUACACUACCACAUUUAUGUCAAGACUACCAGAAUUAUAUUAUCCAUAUAUGUCAUGCAUUUCACUUCUUUCCCACCUCCCCCGGUACAUAUAUGUGGCAUGGUGAGGGGCACAAAGGGAAGGGAAGCCUCUGCUCCCCACUCCCUCUCCCUGCUGUUUCCCGUGGCAUGAAGACAGGCAGCCAGCAGGAAGCAAGCGGCACAGCCUGGGACUUAGAAGCAUGGGGAAGCCCAGUGGUGGCGGCAAGCCCCAGGAGAGCCCUGGGAAGCAGCACAGCCAGGGCGAGACUCGCCUGUGAUGUUGGAUGGCCAACAGCUGGAAGAUGAGUAUGCUGAUUGUCAGCCUAGGGGGAUCUGCAUGGGAAUAAAGACAGGCUGUAACUUAUCAGAAGUGGGCAAAGAUGAUACAGAAGCCCCAGACGCUGCAGACUGGAAGAGGGGGUGAAAAGAGCAUGUGGCUCCUGGAUUGUCUGUUUUUAUUUCCUUCGCCUUGCGGAACUUGUAUCAAUUGUCCACAUGGAGGCUGUGGCAGGAAAGGAGGAACUGCCACCUGGCAUUGCUCUGCUACAGGGCCACAGAGAGCUGUUUGAACAUUUAUAAUGGCAGUGGACAAAACAGUGUUUUUCUUUGAAUGAAAUGAUGCUGAGUUUGGGGCCAACCCAUUUUAAGGUCUCAGAUGCAGAGUGAACUUGGACUAUAAAUCUAGCCCUUCCCCUUAAAUGGGAUGGUGCAAGGACUAACUACUGAACUGUUGAAAGGGAACAAGCAACCCCAUUGAUUGUAAUAUAUUGAAAGGUGAAUUGCCUCCAUCUGUAUCAAUAACAUUUAACAGCAAGUUGUGGUAGGUGAGAAACCAGAGGUGGGGAUCACUUACCAGAGGGUUAGGAGGAACAAUGAACUUGCACCAACUCCUGACCCAUCUGCAAUGCACCUCAUUGAUGGUGAUCACCAUGUCAUUACUCAGUCAUUGCACCAAUGACUCCAAUGUACAAAAAGUGCCAUAAGCACCCUUGACACACUCUCAAGCAAAAGAAAGGCUGGCUCAGAUAGUCGUUGAUGGGGAUACUUACUUACUGCUACCAUGUAUGUUUCUUGGAUCAAUGUGACCCUUCAAGGAUUUCUGAUUCUUCAGAAACAGAUCCCCAGCUUCUUCUGUGACUCUUGAGAUGGGGGUCCCCCCACCAUAAACCUUCACACGUCAUAAUGAGUGCUGACCUUUCAACAAGCUUUACCCAAUUUUCUCUUACAGCAUUAGUACCUAGAGGCCCCAUUUACAUGUUACACUUACGACACAAUUAACGCAUUAAUUACAUCUUAAGCUGUGACUCAGCCACGUAUUCAGUCAAUGGAUGGAAUGAUAAAACAAAAAAUGAGCCACAAAGUUAUUCCACAAAAAAACAUGUAUAUGGCAGAUCCUGUCAUGCCUUUACCUGAACAUCCAGAAGGGCUCUUAUAAACUUUCCAGUUUUAGAAGAGAGCACCAGUGAACACAAAACCUUACUCACCUGGCCCCUUAUAUUAAGGUUGUUAAAAAGCAGUUAAAGCAUGGUAGCACAGUGAAACCAAGCACAAAGGGCAUUUAAACACUUGCUUUGGGAGGUGGUGCAGGAAAGGGGCACUUUAAUUAGAACAGCUCUGAGAACCACUCUAAUUAAAGUGCCCCGAGUGUUGCAGGUAUCAGCGUCCCUGCACUGAAAAAUGGUGGCGAGGUGUCCAAAGAGUUCUCACUCCCAUUGACCAUGCACACUGAUGGAGAUAUGCAGAUAAGGGACAUGGUUCCCAACAAACUGACUCUGCAUACUAAUAAUGGUAUCCAGAUAAGGACCACAGGGGUUGUCACAUUAAUGCAGAUAUAUCAACAGGGUUAUAUACAUACCAAAAAUGUCACGGUAACAGUGGGUGCGUCUACAUGAGAUGCUAACUGUGCAGUAGCUUAAUAACACUAUGCGGUAGCAUGCCAGGCAAAAACCAUGCUAAUACACUCUUGCACACUAGUAUUAAGCUACUGCGCAGUAAGCAUCAUUAAAUAGCCAUGUGCUGGUGCUACUGAGCAGUAGCAUCAUUACUCUGCAUUGAUUUAGUACUUGUUUAACCAAGCGCUAAACUUAAUACGCAGUAACUAUGACGCAUGAAUGAACGUGUAGACAGGCCCAGAGUGUUAUUAAGUUUGCAAAGCCAAGCACUCAGAAGCUAGGAAAUGCCAGUAUAAGAUUGAUCACGCAAUCUAAUUAUGUUAAUUCCUAGUCAGACUACAACUCCUGGCUUCCAGCUCAGGGAACUUUCUUCAAGGCAAAAGAGUAUUUGGAUAGGUAUAUACAGACAAUUCUCUUCUUUUUUGUCUAUGUAUAAAUAGUCUGGAGGGUUUCUCUACUCUAUGUAGCUGCGUCAGAAUUGUCAGAGGUUCUCUGAGAGCAGGAAACAUGGACAAUGCAAAUUAAAUGGUCACACAAUUUUGAAGCAAGUUCUAAUCGGUUGUCCUGAGCACUUGGAAAUGUCUGUCAGCUUUCUGUGGAUUCUAGUACAGCCAAACUGGAUGGAUUCAAAGACAUCAUAAGGCACUCCCUGGCCCACAGGCAAAUCUCAAGAUUCAGUUUCAAACCCUCCAGAGGCCACAACUGUUCAAAACAAUGUUCAGAAAAGCGUGAAAAUAUUGGCAAAAUGACCUAGUUCCCCCUGAUCUCAUUGUAAAAACAUCUGAAUGGCUUGUGCUGAAACUUUCUGAAAAAAUGUAACCUGGAGCAGAAUGUAAACACGGAAAAUAUCAGCUCAGACUUGCUGACAAUGCUCCUCCCUUCCUGCAAUCUGACCCCAGUCCGAGAUAGUUCACCCUCAUUCAACAGUUUGACUCAUAUCUGGACACAGCAACAACUGAACUAAGGCUGCAUUUCUUUGAAUUUCUAGAGACUGGCAGACAUUUCAUUUGACUCUUGGGCUUUAAAAUGAGCACACAGAUUUAAGAUUCUUGUCCCUUGGUUGCUGAAUGAAAAGAGGUAAAAACAAUCUCCCAAACCAUUUCCUUAUGCAUAAUCUGAGAGAGAUUCAGAUUGUGCACAAAUAGCUGUCACUGUUACUGUUGUGUUAUGUCCCGUCCUCCAGGCACUCUCCUCUCCUCGUUCUUAUUCAUGUUCAUUCUGCACAAAAUCAACUUAUGUGAAACUCCCAUUGACUUCAACUGGGUCAUGAUUUCAAGGCUCAUGUGUAAAUAUAAGAAUAUAGGACUGAAAGGAGCGUCCUGCACCAUGCAAUCUAGCCCCCUGCAUUUUCAUGCAAUUGUUAACCAAAAACUGCUACUUCAAACCCUCACUCACAGCUACAAGGCACAAUACCCAGAGCACCCUACAACUUGCUAUAGGGAAAAGCAGGGAAAAUGAGGGCAUUGCCAGUGCCCUGCCACUGCAACA
Alligator mississippiensis (American alligator) is the source of this 6066-nucleotide long non-coding RNA. RefSeq lists it as uncharacterized. The record is from RefSeq and is a predicted model, not a curated record. The transcript has 3 exons. Lineage: Eukaryota; Metazoa; Chordata; Crocodylia; Alligatoridae.